GAUAAACGCUGGCGGCGUGCCUAAUGCAUGCAAGUCGAACGGGAGCCCCUUUGGGGGUCGACCGUGGCGGACGGGUGAGGAACACGUAGCUAACCUGCCCAGGUGUGGGGGAGUAUGCGCUGGAAACGGCGUGCAAUACCGCAUACGCUCGGGUCACGGGAGUGACUUGAGGAAAGCUCAGCAAUGGGUGUACCUGGAGGGGGCUGCGGCCGGAUUAGCUAGUUGGUGUGGUAAGAGCGCACCAAGGCGAUGAUCGGUAGCUGGUCUGAGAGGACGAUCAGCCACAC
Molecule: ribosomal RNA, 287 nt
Filed under: uncultured bacterium
Lineage: Bacteria
Description: partial 16S ribosomal RNA
Rfam family: Bacterial small subunit ribosomal RNA
Source: RNAcentral